This is a non-coding RNA of Sphagnurus paluster, 83 nucleotides long. NCBI's taxonomy places the organism in Eukaryota, Fungi, Basidiomycota, Agaricomycetes, Agaricales, Lyophyllaceae. The record is from the annotation of a GenBank genome assembly.
GCCGGCGUAGUACAAUCGGUAGUACAUUACUUUCCUAAUCCAUAGAAAGGUAAAGGUUAUGGGUUCGAUUCCCAUCGUCGGUU